RNAcentral lists this ribosomal RNA (596 nucleotides) under uncultured Burkholderia sp. Its description in RNAcentral is "bacterial SSU rRNA". It matches the Rfam family "Bacterial small subunit ribosomal RNA", at positions 418 to 1003 of the family's 1533-position model. The record is from RNAcentral. Lineage: Bacteria; Pseudomonadati; Pseudomonadota; Betaproteobacteria; Burkholderiales; Burkholderiaceae.
UCGGGUUGUAAAGCACUUUUGUUCGGAAAGAAAUCCUCUGGGUUAAUACCUCGGGGGGAUGACGGUACCGGAAGAAUAAGCACCGGCUAACUACGUGCCAGCAGCCGCGGUAAUACGUAGGGUGCGAGCGUUAAUCGGAAUUACUGGGCGUAAAGCGUGCGCAGGCGGUUCCGCUAAGACCGAUGUGAAAUCCCCGGGCUUAACCUGGGAAACUGCAUUGGUGACUGGCGAGCUAGAGUGUGGCAGAGGGGGGGUAGAAUUUCCACGUGUAGCAGUGAAAUGCGUAGAGAUGUGGAGGAAUACCGAUGGCGAAGGCAGCCUCCUGGGCUAACACUGACGCUCAUGCACGAAAGCGUGGGGAGCAAACAGGAUUAGAUACCCUGGUAGUCCACGCCCUAAACGAUGUCAACUAGUUGUUGGGGAUUCAUUUCCUUAGUAACGUAGCUAACGCGUGAAGUUGACCGCCUGGGGAGUACGGUCGCAAGAUUAAAACUCAAAGGAAUUGACGGGGACCCGCACAAGCGGUGGAUGAUGUGGAUUAAUUCGAUGCAACGCGAAAAACCUUACCUACCCUUGACAUGGACGGAACCCUGCUG